CCUACGGGAGGCAGCAGUGGGGAAUAUUGGACAAUGGGGGGAACCCUGAUCCAGCCAUGCCGCGUGUGUGAAGAAGGCCCUCGGGUUGUAAAGCACUUUCAGUGAGGAAGAACGCCUGGUGGUUAAUACCCAUCAGGAAAGACAUCACUCACAGAAGAAGCACCGGCUAACUCCGUGCCAGCAGCCGCGGUAAUACGGAGGGUGCGAGCGUUAAUCGGAAUUACUGGGCGUAAAGCGCGCGUAGGUGGCUUGAUAAGCCGGUUGUGAAAGCCCCGGGCUCAACCUGGGAACGGCAUCCGGAACUGUCAAGCUAGAGUGCAGGAGAGGAAGGUAGAAUUCCCGGUGUAGCGGUGAAAUGCGUAGAGCUCGGGAGGAAUACCAGUGGCGAAGGCGGCCUUCUGGACUGACACUGACACUGAGGUGCGAAAGCGUGGGUAGCAAACAGGAUUAGAUACCCCUGUAGUC
RNAcentral lists this ribosomal RNA (465 nucleotides) under Vreelandella stevensii. RNAcentral describes it as "partial 16S ribosomal RNA". It matches the Rfam family "Bacterial small subunit ribosomal RNA", at positions 338 to 795 of the family's 1533-position model. Lineage: Bacteria; Pseudomonadati; Pseudomonadota; Gammaproteobacteria; Oceanospirillales; Halomonadaceae. The record is from RNAcentral.